This 934-nucleotide long non-coding RNA is filed under the name Coffea arabica (coffee). RNAcentral describes it as "long non-coding RNA (CARA_LNC005679)". The record is from RNAcentral. Lineage: Eukaryota; Viridiplantae; Streptophyta; Magnoliopsida; Gentianales; Rubiaceae.
CCAAAUCCCAAAUCUGUCGAACCCUAAUAGCUAAUACCCACCGCCGCACCCCUUUCCCCCAACUCUCUCUCUCUUCUGCUCUGCGCCUCUGCAUGCCUCCCGCCUCUGCCAGUGAGGCAGUGACCACUGACCAUUCUCCAGCUCCAUCUCUCCAUCUCUGGGCCCAAUUCAAGCAUCUGUAGAUCGCUCAAUUGAUUUGCCACCAGAGAAGGUUCAGCUUGUAGAUCACCCAAAUCAACUUUCAACAGCACUUUUUUAGCUGCUGAAAAAAUUUGGUGAAGCCUUAGAUGCUAAGCCUGAGGUUGAUGGUUUCGUGAAGAUAUUUCCUGGGGCUAUGCAUGGAUGCUAAGCCUGAGGUUGAAGAUGAAAAAGAGGUGAACGCAGCAACAGAGGCCCAUCAGGAUACGUUGGAUUGGUUUGUUAAGUACCUCAAGUAGCUCUCUUUAAAAAUUGCAUCACCAGGUUCAGUCACUUGUUCACAACGGAGGCUUAUCUUGUUUUGCGUGAAAAUGUCUUUUUAAGUCAUUGAAUAAGUAUUGUCUUGUGUUUACGGGGUAUCAUGUUCUUGUUUCUAGACUUAGGUAAUUAAUUGAGUGACUUCAGCUUGAUCAGGGCUUUAUAUCAGAUGUAGCAAUGGUUGAUGAAGUAUGUUAACGAGUUAAUUUUCCUGUUGAAAGAAUUUCUUUUUCAACUGCUAAGUGUGGUAGGAUAAGGUUUUACAUGGGCCAUUUGAUAGUUUUAUAUGGUAGGUGUUUUUCUUUUAGUUGAAUUGAGAAGAUAAAUUCAAGCACAUGAAUUUUGCUCUCCUCUCUCUGAUGAAAGGUCUAAAUUUGUGGCUAUUGAUGAAGGGAAUUUGAUCAGAAUUCAAUCACUUGACUCAUAGAUACAGAUCAAUUGUGUUGUUUGCUUGUGUGAUAUACGGUUUUCCCAUAUG